AAUUAAUACAAACGCCGACGCCCCCUC
RNAcentral lists this small RNA (27 nucleotides) under Bombyx mori (domestic silkworm). RNAcentral describes it as "ovarian small RNA-10861". The record is from RNAcentral. Lineage: Eukaryota; Metazoa; Arthropoda; Insecta; Lepidoptera; Bombycidae.